AUUGAACGCUGGCGGCAUGCUUUACACAUGCAAGUCGAACGGUAACAGGUUAAGCUGACGAGUGGCGAACGGGUGAGUAAUGCAUCGGAACGUGCCCGAUCGUGGGGGAUAACGCAGCGAAAGCUGCGCUAAUACCGCAUACGAUCUGAGGAUGAAAGCGGGGGACCGUAAGGACUCGCGCGAUCGGAGCGGCCGAUGUCAGAUUAGGUAGUUGGUGGGGUAAAGGCUCACCAAGCCGACGAUCUGUAGCUGGUCUGAGAGGACGACCAGCCACACUGGGACUGAGACACGGCCCAGACUCCUACGGGAGGCAGCAGUGAGGAAUAUUGGUCAAUGGGCGCAAGCCUGAACCAGCCAUCCCGCGUGAAGGAAAAAGGCGCUAUGCGUUGUAAACUUCUUUUCCGGAGGAAUAAAAUUUUGUACGAGUACAGGACUGAAGGUACUCCGGGAAUAAGCAUCGGCUAACUCCGUGCCAGCAGCCGCCGUAA
This 488-nucleotide ribosomal RNA is filed under the name uncultured bacterium. RNAcentral describes it as "partial 16S ribosomal RNA". It matches the Rfam family "Bacterial small subunit ribosomal RNA", at positions 30 to 523 of the family's 1533-position model. The record is from RNAcentral.